Molecule: ribosomal RNA, 443 nt
Filed under: Peptostreptococcaceae bacterium canine oral taxon 071
Lineage: Bacteria; Bacillati; Bacillota; Clostridia; Peptostreptococcales; Peptostreptococcaceae
Description: bacterial SSU rRNA
Rfam family: Bacterial small subunit ribosomal RNA
Source: RNAcentral
GAGUUUGAUUCUGGCUCAGGAUGAACGCUGGCGGCGUGCUUAACACAUGCAAGUCGAACGAAGCGAGAAGAAAGAAGUUUUUCGAAAUGGAUUUUUUCUUUGCUUAGUGGCGGACGGGUGCGUAACACGUAGGUAACCUGCCCUGUGCUUGGGAAUAACUCCGGGAAACCGGUGCUAAUGCCGAAUAAUAUCGCCUGUCGGCAUCGAGAGGCGAUCAAAGAAUGUUGGCACAGGAUGGGCCUGCGCCGGAUUAGCUGGUUGGUGAGGUAACGGCUCACCAAGGCGACGAUCCGUAGCCGACCUGAGAGGGUGAUCGGCCACACUGGAACUGAGACACGGUCCAGACUCCUACGGGAGGCAGCAGUGGGGAAUAUUGCACAAUGGGGGAAACCCUGAUGCAGCAACGCCGCGUGAGCGAUGAAGGCUUUCGAGUCGUAAAGCUC